GAUGAACGCUGGCGGCGUGCCUAAUACAUGCAAGUCGAGCGACCGGACGAGAAGCUUGCUUCUCUGAUGUUAGCGGCGGACGGGCGAGUAACACGUGGAUAACCUACCUAUAAGACUGGGAUAACUUCGGGAAACCGGAGCUAAUACCGGAUAAUAUUUUGAACCGCAUGGUUCAAAAGUUAAAGACGGUCUUGCUGUCACUUAUAGAUGGAUCCGCGCUGCAUUAGCUAGUUGGUAAGGUAACGGCUUACCAAGGCAACGAUGCAUAGCCGACCUGAGAGGGUGAUCGGCCACACUGGAACUGAGACACGGUCCAGACUCCUACGGGAGGCAGCAGUAGGGAAUCUUCCGCAAUGGGCGAAAGCCUGACGGAGCAACGCCGCGUGAGUGAUGAAGGUCUUCGGAUCGUAAAACUCUGUUAUUAGGGAAGAACAGAUGUGUAAGUAACUGUGCACAUCUUGACGGUACCUAAUCAGAAAGCCACGGCUAACUACGUG
Molecule: ribosomal RNA, 497 nt
Filed under: uncultured bacterium
Lineage: Bacteria
Description: partial 16S ribosomal RNA
Rfam family: Bacterial small subunit ribosomal RNA
Source: RNAcentral